UAGAAGUAUAGAAGACUUUCCUUGUGGCAGCAAAUGUAAUUUGCAGCUAGGGUCAGUCUAGCGACUCUCUGUUGGCUUGUGAGCUGGAAAAAAACCCAUUGUGUUCAGGCCAAUCACAUCGUGUAUAGAGUCGGUGGGC
Molecule: long non-coding RNA, 139 nt
Organism: Etheostoma spectabile (orangethroat darter)
Lineage: Eukaryota; Metazoa; Chordata; Actinopteri; Perciformes; Percidae
Exons: 4
Source: RefSeq, a predicted model, not a curated record